UGAGACACGGACCAGACUUCUUACGGAGGCAGCAGUAGGGAUAUGGUCAAUGGAGGGACUCUGAACCAGCCAUGCCGCGUGCAGGAUGACUGCCCUAUGGGUUGUAAACUGCUUUUGUCAGGGAAUAAACCUUUCUACGUGUAGGAAGCUGAAUGUACCUGAAGAAUAAGGAUCGGCUAACUCCGUGCCAGCAGCCGCGGUAAUACGGAGGAUCCAAGCGUUAUCCGGAUUUAUUGGGUUUAAAGGGUGCGUAGGCGGCUUUUUAAGUCAGUGGUGAAAGACGGCGGCUCAACCAUCGCAGUGCCCCUUGAUACUGAAGAGCUUGAAUGAACUAGAGGUAGGCGGAAUGUGACAAGUAGCGGUGAAAUGCAUAGAUAUGUCACAGAACACCGAUUGCGAAGGCAGCUUACUAUGGUUAAAUUGACGCUGAUGCACGAAAGCGUGGGGAUCAAACAGGAUUAGAUACCCUGGUAGUCCACGCCCUAAACGAUGAAUACUCGCUGUUAGCGAUACACAGUUAGCGGCUAAGCGAAAGCGUUAAGUAUUCCACCUGGGGAGUACGGUCGCAAGAUUGAAACUCAAAGGAAUUGACGGGGGCCCGCACAAGCGGAGGAGCAUGUGGUUUAAUUCGAUGAUACGCGAGGAACCUUACCCGGGCUUGAAAGUUAGUGAAUCAUUUAGAGAUAGAUGAGUCCGCAAGGACACGAAACUAGGUGCUGCAUGGCUGUCGUCAGCUCGUGCCGUGAGGUGUUGGGUUAAGUCCCGCAACGAGCGCAACCCCUAUGUUUAGUUGCCAGCACGUUAAGGUGGGGACUCUAAACAGACUGCCUGUGCAAACAGCGAGGAAGGAGGGGACGACGUCAAGUCAUCAUGGCCCUUACGUCCGGGGCUACACACGUGCUACAAUGGAUGGUACAGCGGGCAGCAAGCUGGUAACAGCAAGCAAAUCUCCAAAAGCCAUUCACAGUUCGGAUUGAGGUCUGCAACUCGACCUCUUGAAGUUGGAUUCGCUAGUAAUCGUGUAUCAGCAAUGACGCGGUGAAUACGUUCCCGGGCCUUGUACACACCGCCCGUCAAGCCAUGGAAGUUGGGGGUACCUAAAGUAUGUAACCGCAAGGAGCG
Molecule: ribosomal RNA, 1122 nt
Filed under: Pedobacter sp.
Lineage: Bacteria; Pseudomonadati; Bacteroidota; Sphingobacteriia; Sphingobacteriales; Sphingobacteriaceae
Description: bacterial SSU rRNA
Rfam family: Bacterial small subunit ribosomal RNA
Source: RNAcentral